AUGGCUAUCGAGGACCAAGAGAAGACGGCUUUCAUCACCCCCUUUGGAGCUUUCUGUUAUGUCUCCAUGCCCUUCGGACUCAAGAGCGCAGGGGCAACUUACCAACGGUGUGCUCAAAACUGUUUCCACAAUCAGAUUGGACGCAACGUUCAUGCCUAUGUUGAUGACAUUGUGGUCAAAUCAGCCAAGAAGGCGACUCUGCUGGAUGACCUCAGGGAGACCUUUGCAAACCUUCGCACGUAUCAGAUGAAACUUAACCUAGACAAGUGUGUAUUUGGAGUCCCUACUGGCAAGUUACUUGGUUUCUUGGUAUCCGAGCGUGGUAUUGAGGCCAAUCCAGAGAAGAUCAAGACAAUCACUUCACUUACUGAGCCCAAGAAUCUCAAUGACGUUCAACGCUUGGCGGGUCGAAUUGCAGGCUUGAGUCGGUUUAUUAGCUGCCUCGGUGAGAAAGCAAUUCCUUUGUACCAGAUGCUCAAGAAAACAGACAACUUCAAGUGGAGUGCUGCCGCCAACGAUGCCCUUGAGGCCCUCAAGAAGCAACUAGCUGAGCCGCCUGUCCUUGCUGCUCCAAUCACCAAAGAGCCUAUGCUCCUGUACAUUGUUGCUAACAAUAAGGCGGUCAGUGUUGCGGUUGUGGUGGAAAGAAAGGAGACGGGUAAAGACUACCCAGUUCAGAGGCCAGUGUAUUAUGUCAGCGAGGUCUUGACACUAUCCAAGCAACGUUACCCUCACUGGCAGAAACUUGUUUUUGGCGUAUUUAUGGCAAGUAGGAAGCUAAGACAUUACUUCUUGGAACACCCCAUCACAGUGGUUAGUUCGGCUCCCUUAGGUGAUAUUAUUCACAACAGGGAAGCAACCGGCCGGGUCGCCAAGUGGGCCAUCGAGCUUGGUCCACAUAACAUCAAGUAUGUCCCUCGCACGGCUAUGAAAUCUCAAGCCCUGGUGGAUUUCAUCUACGACUGGACUGAGCUUCAGGCACCCGAGGAGAAACCAGACAACACGUAUUGGACUAUACACUUUGACGGAUCUAGGCAGUUUGAGGGCUUCGGGGCUGGAGUCAUCUUAUCUUCCCCUCGAGGUGACAAGUUCUAUUAUGUGUUGAGACUUAUGUUUCCUUGUACUAACAAUGCAGCUGAGUACGAGGCCCUCCUUCACGGCCUCUGUAUUGCUAAGGAGAUGAACCUCAGUCGAGUCAGAUGCUUGGGCGACUCAGACAUGGUAGCUCAACAGGUUUCUGGCACUUGGGACUCCAAAGACCCCCUCAUGUCGGCUUACCGACAAGUAGUCACCAAUGUUGCUGGUCAGUUCAAAGGUUACCAGGUGGAUCAUAUUGAUCGACGACAGAAUGAGGCGGCUGAUGCUCUAUCCCGCCUUGGCUCGCAGUGUAAGCCGGUUCCUCCCAAUGUUUUCCUCGACGUCCUUCAUAACCCGUCAGUCAAAACUGCCAUCAGAAGAGGAUCUUGUCAUUCCUGA
This 1476-nucleotide ribosomal RNA is filed under the name Triticum aestivum (bread wheat). RNAcentral describes it as "partial small subunit ribosomal RNA". The record is from RNAcentral. Lineage: Eukaryota; Viridiplantae; Streptophyta; Magnoliopsida; Poales; Poaceae.